This is a non-coding RNA of Zonotrichia albicollis (white-throated sparrow), 829 nucleotides long. Lineage: Eukaryota; Metazoa; Chordata; Aves; Passeriformes; Passerellidae. The record is from RefSeq and is a predicted model, not a curated record.
CAGCAUUGACAUUGAAUUUCCACAGCUGUGUCCCACCCUGAAAUGAAAUCAGCCUCCAGAGGAGAGGGGCUGGCUGAAAUACUUGGCUGUGGAGCUGUUCAUUCAUCUGGAGAGAUGGGUUCAACAGGAGGAGAAUCCAAACCCGGUGUGAAGGAGAGGUGCUGGUGUGGGAGUCUGCAAGGAGUGGAAAUGCACCAGCAAGGUGCAGCCUCCGUGGAGGGAAAGAGAAUUUGCCUUCAUUUGUGUCCAGAACCACAGAGCUGAACUUGUGAUUCUCUGAGGACCACAGUGAGCUGGAGGAAGGUAGCAGCCCUUACCCUUUGCCCUUCUUGUCCCAGGAGCAGCAGGGAGGACAAGCCAGCCACCAGCUCUCUUCUAGGGGAUAACAGAAAGGCUCUGUUUGGUUUGUUGGGAACAGAAGAAGAUUUGCUGACAUUUCCAGAGGAUGAGGACGUUUCCAUGCCAGGCACCUCUCCAGGGAAAGAAGAAUGUUUUUGCAUCUUCUCCUGGAAGAUUGAAAUUCCCCAUCUCCCUGGCUUCUCUGUGCUAGUUGAGAUGGGAGGAUCUUUCCUGAGCCAGUGACCUGGAGAGGAUCAGUGAUAGUCCCCUAACUCCACUGGCUACAUCUGGACAGACCUGGAGGAGAUGAGCGUGUCACUCCCACCUUUGAGUGCAGCUGAGCGUUGCCUGAUGGAGCGAUGAGACACCCAAUGCUACAAAAUCAAGGUGAGGAGCUCUGAGACUCCUGGAGCCACAGCAAAUUCCUAAUGAAGAGGGAAGAGUGGGGUAAGUGGAGACAUUGCCUUUGCACUGGGUUACAUGUCCCUAC